This is a long non-coding RNA of Juglans microcarpa x Juglans regia, 839 nucleotides long. RefSeq lists it as uncharacterized. The transcript is spliced from 2 exons. Lineage: Eukaryota; Viridiplantae; Streptophyta; Magnoliopsida; Fagales; Juglandaceae. The record is from RefSeq and is a predicted model, not a curated record.
UCCCGGCUGGCCUCUCUCUCAACAGUAAUUAUUAGUUGCCACUCUCUCCCAUCUGCCUCUCUUUCUUAUAGAUCUUUCUUAUAUAUAUACUCGCAUACUUCUUCGAUCUCAUGCAAUUAAUAUUAGUUGCAACUCUCUCCCAUCUGCCUGAUCUCUUUCUCUGAUAUAUACAUAUAUAUAUAUAUAAACAAGAAAAUGGUGGAGGCGAAGAAGUUGGAGUUGGCAACAAAAAUGGCGAGUAGUAGUACUACUACUACUGCAAGCUGCACUAGGAAGAAGAAGAAGAAGAUGAGGAGCUUAGUUCCUCCAGUUAGAGGAAGUAUUAAGCGCAGGAUCUUCACCAUCUUAUAUCAGAACUUGAAGCUCGCAAGCCAGCUUGCCGUACAUUACCUGAUCAUGAGCAACAACGUCAACCACAACCACAUGAGUAGUACUUAGCUGGCCAUCCUCUUCUUUUCAUGAUCGUGUACAAGUUACAUACUAUAGGUGGUGAUAUUGGAAUUAUUAAUAUAAUUACGAUGCUUUAUCGAAAGACCUUUGACAAGAAGAAUUGGAGUACCCAAUCAAUUGAGCAUGCAUGAAGAAAGGCACCAAAGAGGAAGACAUGAAGAGUAGCAUCACACAUCAUCCUGCAUUGCAGUGACGAUAUAGUCUAUGAACUAUAAUAAUAUUGUAAGAAUAAGAAGGAUCCCAAAAUCAAAAUCCUCAAGAGUUUAUAAUAGGGUUAAUGUGAUGUCUAAGGUACUGUUGUAACGUUAAUGUUUUUAUUCUCACACCCUUAAUUAAAUGAUAGCUUUUGUUUUGUUUCAAAAAAGAAAAAUUAAUUAAGAAUUCAUAUA